GCCAGACUCCUACGGGAGGCAGCAGUGAGGAAUAUUGGUCAAUGGGCGGAAGCCUGAACCAGCCAAGUCGCGUGAGGGAAGAAGGCCCUGCGGGUCGCAGACCUCUUUGGACGGGGAGCAAGGCCGCCGACGUGUCGGCGGAAGGAGAGUACCCGUAGAACAAGCAUCGGCUAACUCCGUGCCAGCAGCCGCGGUAAUACGGGGGAUGCGAGCGUUAUCCGGAUUUAUUGGGUUUAAAGGGUGCGCAGGCGGAUUUUUAAGUCAGCGGUCAAAUCGUGGGGCUCAACCCCAUCCAGCCGUUGAAACUGGGGAUCUAGAGUGUGCGAGAGGUAUGCGGAAUGCGUGGUGUAGCGGUGAAAUGCAUAGAUAUCACGCAGAACCCCGAUUGCGAAGGCAGCAUACCGGUGCACAACUGACGCUCAGGCACGAAAGCGUGGGUAUCGAACAGGAUUA
Molecule: ribosomal RNA, 453 nt
Filed under: uncultured bacterium
Lineage: Bacteria
Description: partial 16S ribosomal RNA
Rfam family: Bacterial small subunit ribosomal RNA
Source: RNAcentral